UACGUAGGUGGCAAGCGUUGUCCGGAAUUACUGGGUGUAAAGGGCGCGUAGGCGGGAAUGCAAGUCAGAUGUGAAAUCCCGAAGCUUAACUUCGGGGCUGCACCUGAAACUGUAUUUCUUGAGUGUCGGAGAGGAAAGCGGAAUUCCCCGUGUAGCGGUGAAAUGCGUAGAUAUGGGGAGGAACACCGGUGGCGAAGGCGGCUUUCUGGACGAUAACUGACGCUGAGGCGCGAAAGCGUGGGUAGCAAAC
This 250-nucleotide ribosomal RNA is filed under the name uncultured bacterium. RNAcentral describes it as "partial 16S ribosomal RNA". It matches the Rfam family "Bacterial small subunit ribosomal RNA", at positions 524 to 773 of the family's 1533-position model. The record is from RNAcentral.